This 399-nucleotide ribosomal RNA is filed under the name uncultured bacterium. RNAcentral's name for it is "bacterial SSU rRNA". It matches the Rfam family "Bacterial small subunit ribosomal RNA", at positions 9 to 410 of the family's 1533-position model. The record is from RNAcentral.
GAGUUUGAUCGUGGCUCAGAUUGAACGCUGGCGGCAGGCCUAACACAUGCAAGUCGAGCGGUAGAGAGAAGCUUGCUUCUCUUGAGAGCGGCGGACGGGUGAGUAAUGCCUAGGAAUCUGCCUGGUAGUGGGGGAUAACGCUCGGAAACGGACGCUAAUACCGCAUACGUCCUACGGGAGAAAGCAGGGGACCUUCGGGCCUUGCGCUAUCAGAUGAGCCUAGGUCGGAUUAGCUAGUUGGUGAGGUAAUGGCUCACCAAGGCGACGAUCCGUAACUGGUCUGAGAGGAUGAUCAGUCACACUGGAACUGAGACACGGUCCAGACUCCUACGGGAGGCAGCAGUGGGGAAUAUUGGACAAUGGGCGAAAGCCUGAUCCAGCCAUGCCGCGUGUGUGAAG